Molecule: ribosomal RNA, 520 nt
Filed under: uncultured Glomus
Lineage: Eukaryota; Fungi; Glomeromycota; Glomeromycetes; Glomerales; Glomeraceae
Description: SSU rRNA
Rfam family: Eukaryotic small subunit ribosomal RNA
Source: RNAcentral
AGCAGCCGCGGUAAUUCCAGCUCCAAUAGCGUAUAUUAAAGUUGUUGCAGUUAAAAAGCUCGUAGUUGAAUUUCGGGAUUAGUACGCUGGUCGUGCCUUCGGUAUGUACUGGUGUUACUGAUUCCUACCUUCUGAAGAACCGUCAUGUCAUUAAUUUGGUGUGGCGGGGAAUCAGGACUGUUACUUUGAAAAAAUUAGAGUGUUUAAAGCAGGCUCGCGCUUAAAUACAUUAGCAUGGAAUAAUGAAAUAGGACGUUCGAUCCUAUUUUGUUGGUUUCUAGGAUUGACGUAAUGAUUAAUAGGGAUAGUUGGGGGCAUUAGUAUUCAAUUGUCAGAGGUGAAAUUCUUGGAUUUAUUGAAGACUAACUACUGCGAAAGCAUUUGCCAAGGAUGUUUUCAUUAAUCAAGAACGAAAGUUAGGGGAUCGAAGACGAUCAGAUACCGUCGUAGUCUUAACCAUAAACUAUGCCGACUAGGGAUCGGAUGAUGUUAAUUUUUAAUGACUCAUUCGGCGCCUUAC